RNAcentral lists this ribosomal RNA (393 nucleotides) under uncultured bacterium. RNAcentral describes it as "partial 16S ribosomal RNA". It matches the Rfam family "Bacterial small subunit ribosomal RNA", at positions 523 to 918 of the family's 1533-position model. The record is from RNAcentral.
AUACGGAGGAUCCGAGCGUUAUCCGGAUUUAUUGGGUUUAAAGGGUGCGUAGGCGGCCUUUUAAGUCAGCGGUGAAAGUCUGUGGCUCAACCAUAGAAUUGCCGUUGAAACUGGGAGGCUUGAGUAUGUUUGAGGCAGGCGGAAUGCGUGGGGUAGCGGUGAAAUGCUUAGAUAUCCCGCAGAACCCCGAUUGCGAAGGGAGCCUGCCAAGCCAUGACUGACGCUGAUGCACGAAAGCGUGGGGAUCAAACAGGAUUAGAUACCCUGGUAGUCCACGCAGUAAACGAUGAUCACUAGCUGUUUGCGAUACAGUGUAAGCGGCACAGCGAAAGCGUUAAGUGAUCCACCUGGGGAGUACGCCGGCAACGGUGAAACUUAAAGGAAUUGACGGGG